This 484-nucleotide ribosomal RNA is filed under the name uncultured bacterium. RNAcentral's name for it is "bacterial SSU rRNA". It matches the Rfam family "Bacterial small subunit ribosomal RNA", at positions 29 to 536 of the family's 1533-position model. The record is from RNAcentral.
AUUGAACGCUGGCGGCAUGCCUUACACAUGCAAGUCGAACGGUAACGCGGGGCAACCUGGCGACGAGUGGCGAACGGGUGAGUAAUAUAUCGGAACGUGCCCAGUAGUGGGGGAUAGCCCGGCGAAAGCCGGAUUAAUACCGCAUGAGACCUGAGGGUGAAAGCGGGGGAGUCGCAAGACCUCGCGCUAUUGGAGCGGCCGAUAUCAGAUUAGGUAGUUGGUGGGGUAAAGGCCUACCAAGCCGACGAUCUGUAGCUGGUCUGAGAGGACGACCAGCCACACUGGGACUGAGACACGGUCCAGACUCCUACGGGAGGCAGCAGUGGGGAAUAUUGGACAAUGGGGGCAACCCUGAUCCAGCCAUGCCGCGUGUGUGAAGAAGGCUUUCGGGUUGUAAACUCCUUUUCUGAGGGACGAGAAAGGACGGUACCUCAGGAAUAAGUCUCGGCUAACUACGUGCCAGCAGCCGCGGUAAUGUGUGACC